RNAcentral lists this long non-coding RNA (918 nucleotides) under Pan troglodytes (chimpanzee). Its description in RNAcentral is "lincRNA". The record is from RNAcentral. Lineage: Eukaryota; Metazoa; Chordata; Mammalia; Primates; Hominidae.
AUUCGUGCUAACUUCUCAACAGACAUGUUAUUUUUUCCACUUAUUUAUAGGAGGCAUAUUCUGGAUACCAGACCUUUCUAGGUAAGAUGUGUUGCAAAUAGCUCUGCCAAGUUUUGGGUAUUUUUUUUCACGUUGCAGUAUCCUUUAAUAAACAGAAGUAUUAAAUUUUUGUGUUAUCAAAUCAAAUUUUCCUCUUUCAGUUUGUUCUUCUUCCCCAUGUAAAGAUAAAAGAUAUGCUUCCCAGGUUUUUUCUAAAAAUGUGAGAAGCUAUCUUUAUCCGUAAAAUAUAUUUAUGUUUGUUCUCCCGGGAUUAAGUUUCAAUUUCAUUUUUUCCCUAUGGAGAUCAGUGGUACCCAGUGUUGCUUAUUGUAAAUAUACUAUCUUCACUUAACAACAAUGAAAGCUGUGUUACAAAAAUCUGUUUCCCAGUAUUAGUGCAAAAUAUAUUUCUCUUUAUGAUUGUACUCAGAUUAACUAGUUUGCAGGACUGUGUCCAGAGUUGGUUCCUUCUGGUGGGUCGUGGUCUCCCUGACUUCAGGAAUGCAGCUGUGGACCUUCCUGAUUGGUGUGUUUUACAGAGGUCGCAGGUGGCGUGAUUUGAUUUGUGUGAAGGCAAUGAAAUGAUACACAGAUACACCGAAGCCUCCCAAAGAAUCCUGGUUCCAAGACUCAAGAAGAUGGAUUAAUGUUUUUCCAUUAAUUGUUGGAAUUUGUGCCAUUUUUUACUAUGUGCCAUCAAUUUUAAAGCACUUCUGAAAAGACAUAACAAUCUAAAUGAGAUGGCAUUUUAAAUUCAUAAAAUAUAGUAUUUUCCUCAACUUUUAUGCAUUUAUGAUGCAUUAUAUUCUUAUUUCCCGGGAAUUUUACUACCUUUGCUUUGAAUGAUUAAAAAGGAAACACAGCACUUUUUUCAGCACA